UCCAGGAUUCAGGUUUCUGAGUGAACUUUCCUUUGGUGCAUAAAAGACAUCAGCAGGUUUCCUCCAAACUGCACAUCAACUGUUCUCAGAAACUUCUGAGACAAGGAAGAGACCAUGGAGGAAACCAGAGAGCAGAGCUUUGGAGCAGGAAGAUGUCCACAAAGAAGCCCUCAUCACAACUAUGGCAUGUAGAAAGUAAAUUCAUCAUUUAAAAUCAUUCAAGCACAGGAGCCGGUGCUGUGGUGUAGCAGGUAAAGCCGCCGUCUGCAGUGCCAGCAUUCCAUAUGGGCGCCGGUUCGAGUCUCGGCUGCUCCACUUCUGAUCCAGCUCUCCGCUAUGGCCUGGAAAACCAGUGGAAAAUGGCCCAAGUCUUUGGGCCCCUGCAUCUGCAUAGGAGACCCAGAGGAAGCUCCUGGCUCCUGGCUUCAGAUCGGUGCAGCUCUGGCAGUUGCGGCCAAUUGGGGAGUGAAUCAGUGGAUGGAAGACCUCUCUCUCUCUCUCUCUCUUUCUCUCCUUCUCUCUCUGUGUAACUCUGACUUUCAAAUAAAUCUUUACAAAAUUAUUCAAGCACAAUAAAGCUUAUUAUC
Lepus europaeus (European hare) is the source of this 587-nucleotide long non-coding RNA. RefSeq lists it as uncharacterized. The transcript has 3 exons. Lineage: Eukaryota; Metazoa; Chordata; Mammalia; Lagomorpha; Leporidae. The record is from RefSeq and is a predicted model, not a curated record.